GGGAAUGUAGCUCCGUGGUAGAGAACUUGCAUAGCAUGUGCAAGACCCUGGGUUCCAUCCCCAGCAUCCCCC
RNAcentral lists this transfer RNA (72 nucleotides) under Marmota marmota marmota (Alpine marmot). It matches the Rfam family "tRNA". Rfam says of the family: Transfer RNA (tRNA) molecules are approximately 80 nucleotides in length. Their secondary structure includes four short double-helical elements and three loops (D, anti-codon, and T loops). Lineage: Eukaryota; Metazoa; Chordata; Mammalia; Rodentia; Sciuridae. The record is from Rfam by way of RNAcentral. RNAcentral also lists the same sequence under 1 other name.